GAGCCGGUAGCUCAGCUGGUAGAGCAACGGACUUUUAAUCCGUAGGUCCUGGGUUCGACCCCCAGCCGGCUCA
Molecule: transfer RNA, 73 nt
Filed under: Gemmatimonadota bacterium
Lineage: Bacteria; Pseudomonadati; Gemmatimonadota
Also listed under: 2 other names
Description: Gemmatimonadetes bacterium (beach sand metagenome) tRNA-Lys
Rfam family: tRNA
About the family: Transfer RNA (tRNA) molecules are approximately 80 nucleotides in length. Their secondary structure includes four short double-helical elements and three loops (D, anti-codon, and T loops).
Source: RNAcentral